This 459-nucleotide ribosomal RNA is filed under the name uncultured bacterium. RNAcentral describes it as "partial 16S ribosomal RNA". It matches the Rfam family "Bacterial small subunit ribosomal RNA", at positions 338 to 795 of the family's 1533-position model. The record is from RNAcentral.
CCUACGGGUGGCAGCAGUGAGGAAUAUUGGUCAAUGGUCGGGAGACUGAACCAGCCAAGCCGCGUGAGGGAUGAAGGUACAGAGUAUCGUAAACCUCUUUUGUCAGGGAACAAAGGCGGGGACGCGUCCCCGGAUGAGUGUACCUGAAGCAAAAGCAUCGGCUAACUCCGUGCCAGCAGACGCGGUAAUACGGAGGAUGCGAGCGUUAUCCGGAUUUGUUGGGUUUAAGGGGUGCGGAGGCGGUCUGUUAAGUCAGCGGUAAAAGCACGGGGCUCAACCCCGGCCCGCCGUUGAAACUGGCAGUCUCGAGUUGGAGAGAAGUAUGCGGAAUGCGCGGUGUAGCGGUGAAAUGCAUAGAUAUCGCGCAGAACUCCGAUUGCGAAGGCAGCAUGCCGGCUCCACACUGACGCUGAGGCACGAAAGCGUGGGUAUCGAACAGGAUUAGAUACCCGUGUAGUC